GAUGAACGCUGGCGGCGUGCCUAAUACAUGCAAGUCGAGCGAACAGAUGAGGAGCUUGCUCCUCUGACGUUAGCGGCGGACGGGUGAGUAACACGUGGAUAACCUACCUAUAAGACUGGGAUAACUUCGGGAAACCGGAGCUAAUACCGGAUAAUAUAUUGAACCGCAUGGUUCAAUAGUGAAAGACGGUUUUGCUGUCACUUAUAGAUGGAUCCGUGCCGCAUUAGCUAGUUGGUAAGGUAACGGCUUACCAAGGCAACGAUGCGUAGCCGACCUGAGAGGGUGAUCGGCCACACUGGAACUGAGACACGGUCCAGACUCCUACGGGAGGCAGCAGUAGGGAAUCUUCCGCAAUGGGCGAAAGCCUGACGGAGCAACGCCGCGUGAGUGAUGAAGGUCUUCGGAUCGUAAAACUCUGUUAUUAGGGAAGAACAAAUGUGUAAGUAACUAUGCACGUCUUGACGGUACCUAAUCAGAAAGCCACGGCUAACUACGUG
This 497-nucleotide ribosomal RNA is filed under the name uncultured bacterium. RNAcentral's name for it is "partial 16S ribosomal RNA". It matches the Rfam family "Bacterial small subunit ribosomal RNA", at positions 28 to 507 of the family's 1533-position model. The record is from RNAcentral.